AGGGAAUCUUCGGCAAUGGGGGCAACCCUGACCGAGCAACGCCGCGUGAGUGAAGAAGGUUUUCGGAUCGUAAAGCUCUGUUGUAAGUCAAGAACGAGUGUGAGAGUGGAAAGUUCACACUGUGACGGUAGCUUACCAGAAAGGGACGGCUAACUACGUGCCAGCAGCCGCGGUAAUACGUAGGUCCCGAGCGUUGUCCGGAUUUAUUGGGCGUAAAGCGAGCGCAGGCGGUUUGAUAAGUCUGAAGUUAAAGGCUGUGGCUCAACCAUAGUCCGCUUUGGAAACUGUCAAACUUGAGUGCAGAAGGGGAGAGUGGAAUUCCAUGUGUAGCGGUGAAAUGCGUAGAUAUAUGGAGGAACACCGGUGGCGAAAGCGGCUCUCUGGUCUGUAACUGACGCUGAGGCUCGAAAGCGUGGGGAGCGAACAGGAUUAGAUACCCUGGUAGUCCACGCCGUAAACGAUGAGUGCUAGGUGUUGGAUCCUUUCCGGGAUUCAGUGCCGCAGCUAACGCAUUAAGCACUCCGCCUGGGGAGUACGACCGCAAGGUUG
Molecule: ribosomal RNA, 549 nt
Filed under: uncultured bacterium
Lineage: Bacteria
Description: bacterial SSU rRNA
Rfam family: Bacterial small subunit ribosomal RNA
Source: RNAcentral